RNAcentral lists this ribosomal RNA (494 nucleotides) under uncultured bacterium. RNAcentral describes it as "partial 16S ribosomal RNA". It matches the Rfam family "Bacterial small subunit ribosomal RNA", at positions 28 to 507 of the family's 1533-position model. The record is from RNAcentral.
GACGAACGCUGGCGGCGUGCUUAACACAUGCAAGUCGAACGGUGAAGCGCCUUCCUUUUCGGUUGGUGUGGCUGAGUGGCGAACGGGUGAGUAACACGUGAGUAACCUGCCCCCUUCUUCUGGAUAACCUCAUGAAAGUGUGGCUAAUACGGUAUAUUCUGGGUCUGUCGCAUGAUGGGUCUGGGACCGCUAUUGUUUCGGUGGGGGCUGGGCUCGCGGCCUAUCAGCUUGUUGGGGGGGUGAUGGCCUACCAAGGCGAUGACGGGUAGGCGGCCUGGGAGGAUGGGCGGCCACACAGCUGAGAAGACGCGGAGAAGACUCCGACGGGAGGCAGCGGGGGGGAAUAUUGCACAAGGGGAGGAAGGAUGAUGCAGCGACGCGGCGAGAGGGAUGGAGGCCGUCGUGUUGAGAACCUCUUGCGCGAGUGAAGUAGGUCUGCCUAGUUUGUGUGUGGGUUGACGGUAGCUGGAUAAGAAGCGCCGGCUAACUACGUG